CAGUCGCCGCGGUAAUACGUAGGGUGCAAGCGUUAAUCGGAAUUACUGGGCGUAAAGCGUGCGCAGGCGGUUAUGCAAGACAGAUGUGAAAUCCCCGGGCUUAAUCUGGGAACUGCAUUUGUGACUGCAUAGCCAGAGUGCGGCAGAGGGGGAUGGAAUUCCGCGUGUAGCAGUGAAAUGCGUAGAUAUGCGGAGGAACACCGAUGGCGAAGGCAAUCCCCUGGGCCUGCACUGACGCUCAUGCACGAAAGCGUGGGGAGCAAACAGGAUUAGAUACACCAGUAGUCCCUGUCUCUUAUAC
This 301-nucleotide ribosomal RNA is filed under the name uncultured bacterium. RNAcentral's name for it is "partial 16S ribosomal RNA". It matches the Rfam family "Bacterial small subunit ribosomal RNA", at positions 509 to 807 of the family's 1533-position model. The record is from RNAcentral.